Molecule: ribosomal RNA, 253 nt
Filed under: uncultured bacterium
Lineage: Bacteria
Description: partial 16S ribosomal RNA
Rfam family: Bacterial small subunit ribosomal RNA
Source: RNAcentral
GACGAACCGUGCGAACGUUGUUCGGAUUCACUGGGCUUAAAGGGCGCGUAGGCGGUCGACCAAGUCUGGGGUGAAAUCUUUUGGCUCAACCGGAAAAGUGCCCCCGAUACUGGCCGGCUAGAGGGAGAUAGGGGCAUGCGGAACUUCCGGUGGAGCGGUGAAAUGCGUAGAUAUCGGAAGGAACGCCGGUGGCGAAAGCGGCGUGCUGGAUCUCUUCUGACGCUGAGGCGCGAAAGCCAGGGGAGCAAACGGG